GGAUGGAGAGAGGUGGGGAUAUAGGGAUGGAGAGAGGUGGGGAUAGAGGGAUGGAGAGAGGUGGGGAUAGAGGGAUGGAGAGAGAUGGGGAUAGAGGGAUGGAGAGAGGUGUAGAUACAGGGAUGGAGAGAGGUGGGGAUAUAGGGAUGAGAGAGGUGGGGUACAUGGAUGGAGAGAGGUUGGGAUAUAGGGAUGGAGAGAGGUGUAGAUAUAGGGAUGGAGAGAGGUAGGGAUAUAGGGAUGGAGAGAGGUGGGGAUAUAGGGAUGGAGAGAGGUGUAGAUACAGGGAUGGAGAGAGGUGGGGAUAUAGGGAUGGAGAGAGGUGUAGAUAUAGGGAUGGAGAGAGGUGUAGAUACAGGGAUGGAGAGGUGGGG
Long non-coding RNA from Oncorhynchus tshawytscha (Chinook salmon), 374 nucleotides. The record is from Ensembl. NCBI's taxonomy places the organism in Eukaryota, Metazoa, Chordata, Actinopteri, Salmoniformes, Salmonidae.